GAUGAACGCUGGCGGCGUGCCUAAUACAUGCAAGUCGAGCGAACGGACGAGAAGCUUGCUUCCCUGAUGUUAGCGGCGGACGGGUGAGUAACACGUGGAUAACCUACCUAUAUGACUGGGAUAACUUCGGGAAACCGUAGCUAAUACCGGAUAAUCUUUUGAACAGCAUGGUUCAAAAGUGAAAGACGGUCUUGCUGUCACUUAUAGAUGGAUCCACGCUGCAUUAGCUAGUUGGUAAGGUAACGGCUUACCAAGGCAACGAUGCAUAGCCGACCUGAGAGGGUGAUCGGCCACACUGGAACUGAGACACGGUCCAGACUCCUACGGGAGGCAGCAGUAGGGAAUAUUCCGCAAUGGGCGAAAGCCUGACGGAGCAACGCCGCGUGUGUGAUGAAGGUCUUCGGAUCGUAAAGCUCUGUUAGUAGGGAAGAACAUAGGUGUAAGUAACUGUGCACAUCUUGACGGUACCUGAUCAGAAAGCCACGGCUAACUACGUG
This 497-nucleotide ribosomal RNA is filed under the name uncultured bacterium. RNAcentral's name for it is "partial 16S ribosomal RNA". It matches the Rfam family "Bacterial small subunit ribosomal RNA", at positions 28 to 507 of the family's 1533-position model. The record is from RNAcentral.